This is a long non-coding RNA of Labrus mixtus (cuckoo wrasse), 560 nucleotides long. RefSeq lists it as uncharacterized. Lineage: Eukaryota; Metazoa; Chordata; Actinopteri; Labriformes; Labridae. The record is from RefSeq and is a predicted model, not a curated record. The transcript has 2 exons.
UGCAGAAACAUCUUCCAUAAGGCAUGACAUGGUUAUUGCAGCAUUGAUGUGAUGUUUUCAUGAUACUUGUAUGAGAAUAUAACCGUGUGGUCGCCACUCAGAGAUGGGUGAGGAAAUACUGCAUAGUUCCCAGGCUGGCAUCUUGCGCUACAAAGACAUUUGUGGAAAGUUCCCAGGCUGUCUGGGAGUCUUUAUGGAGUGUAAAGUGUGUGUUUCAGAGGCUCUUCUUCUCACACUCCUGUACCCUUCACCCCCGAGGCUUCAGGACAGCUCUCAUAGGAGGGAGGGAAGAGGAGGAGAGGGCGGCUGAGCAUCCAUCAGCCCAGCUCGGAGUGCUCUGUCUGGGCUCGCUGGGAAGGCCGGAGGGCAGGCAGGCAUGGAGCCCCACCCCCCCUCCAAAACAUCUCUUAAUCUCACCUGAUAAUCUCACUAUUUCUCCUCUUCUCUUGUCAGUGUCUAUGACACACGAUUAUCUUUUCAAACCUCUUUUUAAAAUGUUUUUCUCUUAGGUUUACAAAAAAAAAGCAAGGGAAGAUUUUUUGCUUUUUAGCGUUCGAGAU